GGGGAAUAUUGGACAAUGGGCGCAAGCCUGAUCCAGCCAUGCCGCGUGAGUGAUGAAGGCCCUAGGGUUGUAAAGCUCUUUCACCGGUGAAGAUAAUGACGGUAACCGGAGAAGAAGCCCCGGCUAACUUCGUGCCAGCAGCCGCGGUAAUACGAAGGGGGCUAGCGUUGUUCGGAAUUACUGGGCGUAAAGCGCACGUAGGCGGACAUUUAAGUCAGGGGUGAAAUCCCAGAGCUCAACUCUGGAACUGCCUUUGAUACUGGGUGUCUUGAGUAUGGAAGAGGUAAGUGGAAUUCCGAGUGUAGAGGUGAAAUUCGUAGAUAUUCGGAGGAACACCAGUGGCGAAGGCGGCUUACUGGUCCAUUACUGACGCUGAGGUGCGAAAGCGUGGGGAGCAAAC
This 400-nucleotide ribosomal RNA is filed under the name uncultured bacterium. RNAcentral describes it as "bacterial SSU rRNA". It matches the Rfam family "Bacterial small subunit ribosomal RNA", at positions 356 to 773 of the family's 1533-position model. The record is from RNAcentral.